CGGCGGACGGGUGAGUAACCCGUGGAUAACCUACCUAUAAGACUGGGAUAACUUCGGGAAACCGGAGCUGAUACCGGAUAAUAUAUUGAACCGCAUGGUUCAAUAGUGAAAGACGGUUUUGCUGUCACUUAUAGAUGGAUCCGCGCCGCAUUAGCUAGUUGGUAAGGUAACGGCUUACCAAGGCAACGAUGCGUAACCGACCUGAGAGGGUGAUCGGCCACACAGGAACUGAGACACGGUCCAG
RNAcentral lists this ribosomal RNA (244 nucleotides) under uncultured Staphylococcus sp. RNAcentral describes it as "partial 16S ribosomal RNA". It matches the Rfam family "Bacterial small subunit ribosomal RNA", at positions 96 to 334 of the family's 1533-position model. Lineage: Bacteria; Bacillati; Bacillota; Bacilli; Caryophanales; Staphylococcaceae. The record is from RNAcentral.